RNAcentral lists this ribosomal RNA (251 nucleotides) under uncultured prokaryote. RNAcentral describes it as "partial 16S rRNA". It matches the Rfam family "Bacterial small subunit ribosomal RNA", at positions 525 to 775 of the family's 1533-position model. The record is from RNAcentral.
ACAGAGGUGGCAAGCGUUGUUCGGAAUCACUGGGCUUAAAGGGUGUGUAGGCGGGUCAGAGGGUGUCUCGUGAAAGCCCCCGGCUUAACCGGGGAAUUGCGGGGCAAACCGCUGGUCUUGAGGUCGGCAGGGGUAUCCGGAACUUUGGGUGGAGCGGUGAAAUGCGUUGAUAUCCAAGGGAACGCCGAUGGCGCAAGCGGGGUACUGGGCCGAUUCUGACGCUGAGACACGAAAGCGUGGGGAGCAAACAG